CCCUUAGAUGUUCUGGGCAGCACGCGCGCUACAAUGGUCUUCGCAAACGGAUGCAUUCUCGAAGGAGACUGCCAAUCUUGGAAUCUAUGCCUUGGUCGGGACAGUUGCUUGCAAUUUUUCGACUCGAACCAGGAAUUCCUUGUAAUCGUGAUUCAUCACAUCACGAUGAAUACGUCCCUGCCCUUUGUACACACCGCCCGUCGCUCCUACCGAUCGAAGAGUUAGGUGAAUUGUUUUGAUCGAUAAGAUUUGACUAUGGUCAACUCUCGUUGUGAAAUUCUGUGAAUCUGACUGUUUAGAGGAAGGAAAAGUCGUAACA
Molecule: ribosomal RNA, 319 nt
Filed under: uncultured eukaryote
Lineage: Eukaryota
Description: partial 18S ribosomal RNA
Rfam family: Eukaryotic small subunit ribosomal RNA
Source: RNAcentral